GGGACAUUGGUAAUUAAUGAUUAUGCAAGUCUGUGGGCAUGUGGCAUCAUGUUUGUGUACCAGCGGUGUAGUUAUCAGAACAAGUUGUUUGACGGAUUUUCUACGAAGGAGUUCCUGUUCAUUUGAAUGCCAUGCUCUGUUGCUGAUGCAUUAGCCAUGACUUGUACAUUUCUAUGGCAGUGAAACAAGUCAAAUGCCACAAGUUCCUGACAGCAACGUUGAUUACAGCUGACCUACUCCUGCCCUCAUGAAAUCUGGAAAGAAGUUUUCUACUUAAUCAUGAAUUGGAGCAACCUGAGGUCCUUUAUUCCAGUAUGGAUCCUGUAUCUUUACUGUAUGUACAAAUCGAAUUUAAGUUUGCACAAUACAUCUC
This is a long non-coding RNA of Rhincodon typus (whale shark), 373 nucleotides long. RefSeq lists it as uncharacterized. The record is from RefSeq and is a predicted model, not a curated record. The transcript is spliced from 3 exons. Lineage: Eukaryota; Metazoa; Chordata; Chondrichthyes; Orectolobiformes; Rhincodontidae.